GACGAACGCUGGCGGCGGGCUUAACACAUGCAAGUCGAACGGAAAGGCCCUGCUAUUGUGGUGUUCCCGAGUGGCGAACGGGUGAGUAACACGUGAGUAACCUGCCCUUGACUUUGGGAUAGCUUCAGGAAACUGGGGCUACUACCGUAUAGGAUCUCCUGCUGCGGUGUGGGGGUUGGAACGUUUAGGCUGUUGGGGAUGAACUCGCGGCUUAUGAGCUUGUUGGUUGGGGAGUGGCUGACCAAGGCUGUGACGGGUAGCCGGCCUGAGAGGGUGACCGGCAUCCUGGGGCCUACGAGAGGGACCAGUCGCGUAUGGGAGGCAGCAGUGGCAAAUCUUGCCCAACGGGAGGAAGUCGGAUGAAGAAACGCCCGGUUCGGGAUGACGGCCUUCGGGGUGUAAAAAGCUUCCGCCUGUGACGACGCGUGAGUGACGGUAAUGGGUAAAGAAGCACCGGCUAACUACGUG
Molecule: ribosomal RNA, 468 nt
Filed under: uncultured bacterium
Lineage: Bacteria
Description: partial 16S ribosomal RNA
Rfam family: Bacterial small subunit ribosomal RNA
Source: RNAcentral